RNAcentral lists this unclassified non-coding RNA (157 nucleotides) under uncultured fungus. RNAcentral's name for it is "sequence contains ITS1, 5.8S rRNA gene". The record is from RNAcentral. Lineage: Eukaryota; Fungi.
CAGAGAUCAUGCCCUCACGGGUAGACCUCCCACCCUGUGUUAUUUACUCUUGUUGCUUUGGCAGGCCGCCUUCGGGCUCUCGGCUCCGGCUGAGGUGCGCCUGCCAGAGGACCCCAACUCUGUGUUUAGUGUCGUCUGAGUACUAUAUAAUAAGUUA